CACGUAGUUAGCCGUGACUUUCUGGUUGAUUACCGUCAAAUAAAGGCCAGUUACUACCUCUAUCCUUCUUCACCAAUAACAGAGCUUUACGAUCCGAAAAUCUUCUUCACUCACGCGGCGUUGCUCCAUCAGACUUGCGUCCAUUGUGGAAGAUUCCCUACUGCUGCCUCCCGUAGGAGUUUGGGCCGUGUCUCAGUCCCAAUGUGGCCGAUCAGUCUCUCAACUUGGCUAUGCAUCGUCGCCUUGGUAAGCCGUUACCUUACCAACUAGCUAAUGCACCGCGGGGCCAUCCCUUAGCGACAGCUUACGCCGCCUUUCAAAAGCUGAUCAUGCGAUCUGCUUUAUUAUCCGGUAUUAGCACCUGUUUCCAAAUGGUAUCCCAGACUUAGGGGCAGGUUCCCCACGUGUUACUCACCCAUCCGCCGCUCGCUUUCCCAACGUCAUUACCGAAGUAAAUCUGUUGGUUCCGCUCGCUCGACUUGCAUGUAUUAGGCACGCCGCC
This 502-nucleotide ribosomal RNA is filed under the name uncultured Lactobacillus sp. RNAcentral's name for it is "partial 16S ribosomal RNA". The record is from RNAcentral. Lineage: Bacteria; Bacillati; Bacillota; Bacilli; Lactobacillales; Lactobacillaceae.